GAAACAAAUGACUUUUGACUACACAAUUGAAUAAUACAGGACCUAUCUUUCAGUCAGCCUGUAGCCUGAGGAAACCCAAAUGGUCAAGGAAUUGAUGAACAUGAAUUAUUGCAUUGAUAUUUAGCUGCAUAAUUUCAUGUUCAUCAGGACAGAGGAAGAAACAGCAGAUUCACACCAGUAAUGUACAUCACUAUUUGGGAUCUGUUGAAUCAAUGGACGUAUGGAUUCUAUCUUUUAAUUUGAAUCUUGCUGAUGCUAAUGCUGUUUGCUAGUACACAAAAUGAGGUGUUGAAACAGAAGAGUGGCUACAAGCCAGAUACCUACAGAAUCUCAUCAGCAAUGCCCAGCACAUGACUUUCAUCCCUGCUCUGAUAUCCAAGAUGUCAAGACGCGCUAGUGGCUUUGUCAUAUUUCGUAAAAUCAAAGACCAAGUAGAAUAUCUGUUGCUCCAAGCCUCCAAUGGGGCUCGUCACUGGACACCUCCCAAAGGACACGUGGAUCCGGGGGAGGAUGACCUGACGACUGCUCUGCGGGAGACGCAAGAGGAAGCCGGGUUCACACCAUCGCAGCUGAAAGUUGUUGAUGGGUUUGUGAAAGAAAUAUCGUACAUAGCAUGGGGCAACAACAAAGUAUCAGCGUACUAUUUGGCGGAGCUAAUUGAGAAAGAUGCGGCUGUGACCCUAUCCCAUGAACACACUGACUGGAGGUGGGCACCAAUAGAAGACGCGUGCAGGCUAGCAAGCUAUCCAGAGAUGCAAGACGUCCUUCAGCAAGCCCACAGUUUCCUGCGUGAACAAAAAUCCGCUCCAUAGGUUACGAGGGCCCUGGGCCCUAUAAUAGCUUACAUUUCAUGCCUAUUGGAAAAAUCGAACAUUUUGAAUGUGAAGGACUGGACCAAUGAUAGAGCUUGCGGUCAUGCUGUAACUUAUUUACUGUAUGACGACUGUGUUGUACCUAUGUCCCAUGAAAGUGAGGGGUAGUUGUGAUUUAUUUGCUGAUCACUUACAUUAUUGUUACGAUUGCCCUCCAGUUGAGAACGAAUAAAUGUCUCCGAAACAA
Molecule: long non-coding RNA, 1059 nt
Organism: Amphibalanus amphitrite
Lineage: Eukaryota; Metazoa; Arthropoda; Thecostraca; Balanomorpha; Balanidae
Exons: 3
Source: RefSeq, a predicted model, not a curated record